AGAGUUUGAUCUUGGCUCAGGAUGAACGCUAGCUACAGGCUUAACACAUGCAAGUCGAGGGGAAACGACAUCGAAAGCUUGCUUUUGAUGGGCGUCGACCGGCGCACGGGCGAGUAACGCGUAUCCAACCUGCCCAUCACUUGGGGAUAACCUUGCGAAAGUAAGACUAAUACCCAAUGAUAUCUCUAGAAGGCAUCUGAAAGAGAUUAAAGAUUUAUCGGUGAUGGAUGGGGAUGCGUCUGAUUAGCUUGUUGGCGGGGUAACGGCCACCAAAGCAACGAUCAGUAGGGGUUCUGAGAGGAAGGUCCCCANAUUGGAACUGAGACACGGUCCAAACUCCUACGGGAGGCA
RNAcentral lists this ribosomal RNA (351 nucleotides) under uncultured bacterium. RNAcentral's name for it is "bacterial SSU rRNA". It matches the Rfam family "Bacterial small subunit ribosomal RNA", at positions 8 to 350 of the family's 1533-position model. The record is from RNAcentral.